This 957-nucleotide ribosomal RNA is filed under the name marine bacterium HE-21. RNAcentral describes it as "bacterial SSU rRNA". It matches the Rfam family "Bacterial small subunit ribosomal RNA", at positions 370 to 1321 of the family's 1533-position model. The record is from RNAcentral.
CAUGGGCGCAGCCUGAUGCAGCCAUGCCGCGUGUGUGAAGAAGGCCUUCGGGUUGUAAAGCACUUUCAGUCGUGAGGAAGGUGGUGUAGUUAAUAGCUGCAUUAUUUGACGUUAGCGACAGAAGAAGCACCGGCUAACUCCGUGCCAGCAGCCGCGGUAAUACGGAGGGUGCGAGCGUUAAUCGGAAUUACUGGGCGUAAAGCGCAUGCAGGUGGUUAGUUAAGUCAGAUGUGAAAGCCCGGGGCUCAACCUCGGAACUGCAUUUGAAACUGGCUGACUAGAGUACUGUAGAGGGGGGUAGAAUUUCAGGUGUAGCGGUGAAAUGCGUAGAGAUCUGAAGGAAUACCGGUGGCGAAGGCGGCCCCCUGGACAGAUACUGACACUCAGAUGCGAAAGCGUGGGGAGCAAACAGGAUUAGAUACCCUGGUAGUCCACGCCGUAAACUAUGUCUACUUGGAGGUUGUGGCCUUGAGCCGUGGCUUUCGGAGCUAACGCGUUAAGUAGACCGCCUGGGGAGUACGGUCGCAAGAUUAAAACUCAAAUGAAUUGACGGGGGCCCGCACAAGCGGUGGAGCAUGUGGUUUAAUUCGAUGCAACGCGAAGAACCUUACCUACUCUUGACAUCCAGAGAACUUAGCAGAGAUGCUUUGGUGCCUUCGGGAACUCUGAGACAGGUGCUGCAUGGCUGUCGUCAGCUCGUGUUGUGAAAUGUUGGGUUAAGUCCCGCAACGAGCGCAACCCUUAUCCUUGUUUGCCAGCACUUCGGGUGGGAACUCCAGGGAGACUGCCGGUGAUAAACCGGAGGAAGGUGGGGACGACGUCAAGUCAUCAUGGCCCUUACGAGUAGGGCUACACACGUGCUACAAUGGCGCAUACAGAGGGCGGCCAACUUGCGAAAGUGAGCGAAUCCCAAAAAGUGCGUCGUAGUCCGGAUUGGAGUCUGCAACUCGACUCCAU